AUUGAACGCUGGCGGCAUGCCUUACACAUGCAAGUCGAACGGCAGCACGGGAGCAAUCCUGGUGGCGAGUGGCGAACGGGUGAGUAAAGUAUCGGAACGUGCCCAGUCGUGGGGGAUAACGUAGCGAAAGUUACGCUAAUACCGCAUACGAUCUAUGGAUGAAAGCGGGGGAUCGCAAGACCUCGCGCGAUUGGAGCGGCCGAUAUCAGAUUAGGUAGUUGGUGGGGUAAAGGCUCACCAAGCCGACGAUCUGUAGCUGGUCUGAGAGGACGCCCGGCCACACUGGGAGUGAGACACGGCCCAGACUCCUACGGGAGGCAGCAGUGGGGAAUUUUGGACAAUGGGCGAAAGCCUGAUCCAGCCAUGCCGCGUGCAGGAUGAAGGCCUUCGGGUUGUAAACUGCUUUUGUACGGAACGAAAAGGUUUGGGCUAAUAAGCUGAGCUCAUGACGGUACCGUAAGAAUAAGCACCGGCUAACUACGUGCCAGCCGCCGCCGUAA
This 500-nucleotide ribosomal RNA is filed under the name uncultured bacterium. RNAcentral's name for it is "partial 16S ribosomal RNA". It matches the Rfam family "Bacterial small subunit ribosomal RNA", at positions 30 to 523 of the family's 1533-position model. The record is from RNAcentral.